GCAUAGCAACGUGACUAGAGUCACGUUGUCUGGCCAAGAAAAGAGGAAGUAAGAAAAGAGGAAGUCAGGGAAAACGGGGCUUAGAGACAGAUGGCCAGUCAGAAACGGGAAGUUAGGUAAGAGUCUGGAACAUUCCAGAAUCUUCCAGUCAAAAGGUAGCAACAAGUAUACUGUAACCAAUGUACUGUUGAGAAUAAUGUGAUGCAUUAUAACCCCAUAACAGAGAGAGGUGGAUUGGCGAAGAAAAGUAUCCACCCUGAAACCGAGGGUAUAUAGGGAUGUACAAUUCAUUAUUAUACGGGAUUUCGUACUUGUACGAAGCAUCUAAUGGACCACAGAGAGGUCUCUUGACCCGUUUGGACUGAAAUAACUUUGCCAGCUCUCCAAGAAGGACUCGAUUCGACAAACAAGAGACUUGUCUCCAUUCUGAUCUCCCCCUGCGAGAAAAGCAAAAGAGGAACAGGACUUCCGGGUCCACCAGAGGAACAAGGGCGUUGGCCCCUCGGGCCACGGCUCGCUCAGGACCGACACCACUUCCCCUGCCCCCCCCCUCUCCCUGACGCAGCCGAAGCCCGAAUCUGAUCACUCGGCCGGGUGAUUCGUCAGGCUUCCCCCCAAAUUCCAGAGACUCUUUUCGGACACUUUCGAACUUCCCCCUCCCCCUCUCCGGGACCUCUCAAACUUCUCUCUGUUCCCUGGAUUUGAGAUGUGCGUCUCGUCUCCCCGGAUUUCCCCUGGACUUCUUGCUGCCUUUCCGGAUCUCGACUUCUCGCGUGCCCACGGACUUUCGAGCCUGCCUUGCCCUCUCUGGACUUCCACAUCCUUCGCAACAAGCACCUUCAACACUUGCCGGUAACACUCUCCAGUUAAUUACAGCACAUAGGCGCACACCACACAUUUUGGUUAGUUUCACACGUCAUAUUCUUGUACUAAUAAACACGAAGGCUAAGCGACGCCCCUGUCUCAGGGCCGUCUCCUUCUCCACUGUA
Long non-coding RNA from Nerophis lumbriciformis (worm pipefish), 989 nucleotides. RefSeq lists it as uncharacterized. NCBI's taxonomy places the organism in Eukaryota, Metazoa, Chordata, Actinopteri, Syngnathiformes, Syngnathidae. The record is from RefSeq and is a predicted model, not a curated record.